CUCCAGACUCCUACGGGAGGCAGCAGUGAGGAAUAUUGGUCAAUGGGCGGGAGCCUGAACCAGCCAAGUCGCGUGAGGGAAGACGGUCCUAUGGAUUGUAAACCUCUUUAGGCGGGGAGCAAUGCCGGGCACGCGUGCCCGGAGGGAGAGUACCCGCAGAAUAAGCAUCGGCUAACUCCGUGCCAGCAGCCGCGGUAAUACGGGGGAUGCAAGCGUUAUCCGGAUUUAUUGGGUUUAAAGGGUGCGUAGGCUGUGAGGUAAGUCAGCGGUGAAAUGCCCCCGCUCAACGGGGUGAAGUGCCAUUGAUACUGCCUUGCUGGAAUGCGGAUGCCGUGGGAGGAAUGUGUGGUGUAGCGGUGAAAUGCAUAGAUAUCACACAGAACACCGAUUGCGAAGGCAUCUCACGAAUCCGCGAUUGACGCUGAUGCACGAAAGCGUGGGUAUCGAACAGGAUUAGAUACCCCAGUA
This 468-nucleotide ribosomal RNA is filed under the name uncultured bacterium. RNAcentral describes it as "bacterial SSU rRNA". It matches the Rfam family "Bacterial small subunit ribosomal RNA", at positions 329 to 792 of the family's 1533-position model. The record is from RNAcentral.